GAAAAAUCAAAGGAUGUUUAUAAUGAGAAAAUUAUAUGUCGAAGGGGAAGGCAGUAAUUCUUGACAAUAUUAUAAGAAAAUUCUUAAAAUAGCACCAAUUUUUCUUGUUAACAGCAUUGGAAAUGAGAGAGCAGCAGUAUUUUGCUACAAUAUUUUAGCACCUGCUGUCCUGCAGGUACUUUAUGAAGCAUGUUCCACAAAUCGUCUCAUUGAUUCCUCAUGGGAAUCAUGCUGGCAUGAUUGUCUCCAUUUUGCUGAUGAAGAAACAGAGGCUUUGAGGAAUUUAGUGACUUGCCCAGAUUGCUCAGCAUUCAAGAAGCCUUGUCUGACUGCCACGCUCUUGCUCUUUCCAUUACCCCAUACGGGCUCCACUGGCCACUCUGCUAAUGCUGACUUGGCCUCCUAAAUGUCUAUCAGGCACUCCAAGCAUGGUCCUACCUCAGGGCCUUUGCACUUGAUCUCUCAGCCAUUUAUACCACUCACUUCCUCAUAUCAUCCACACCUUAAUAUCAUUUCCUCAGAGAGGCUGUGGCAGACCACACUAUCCAAAAUAGAACUUCUCCUUUCCCAUGGCCACGGCUCUGUUUUGUAUUUUUUGUAUGCUUGUAGCACACACUCAGCUAUGACUAUGUUACAUUAUGUGAUACAACUUGAGUUCAACUAUUUCCUAAACUUUUAGAACUGAAGACAUUUGGAGACUGGUUGCAGAUGACUUACUUUUGUAGUUAUUGUGUUUCCCUCCAUUUGUUUUGUGUUUGUAAGUAGCAGUUUUACCAUUUACCGAUGCAUAUGGUUUAAGCAGAUAAUAGAAGGAGCCAAACUGAAAGCAGGUGAGCAGCAUCACCACCCCUGUGGAAACUUUUAUUGUAUUCCUUUUGAUUUGUGGGCAUUUAUUAUUUUCUGUUUCUUCUUUUAUUGCUAUAAGCACCAGUUUCCAUCCCCAGAAAAGGUUAACUAAAAAUUAAUCCACAAAAAGAUUAAAA
Molecule: long non-coding RNA, 983 nt
Filed under: Homo sapiens (human)
Lineage: Eukaryota; Metazoa; Chordata; Mammalia; Primates; Hominidae
Description: non-protein coding lnc-MC3R-3:1
Source: RNAcentral